GACGAACGCUGGCGGCGUGCUUAACACAUGCAAGUCGAACGGAAAGGCCCUGCUUUUGUGGGGUGCUCGAGUGGCGAACGGGUGAGUAACACGUGAGUAACCUGCCCUUGACUUUGGGAUAACUUCAGGAAACUGGGGCUAAUACCGGAUAGGAGCUCCUGCUGCAUGGUGGGGGUUGGAAAGUUUCGGCGGUUGGGGAUGGACUCGCGGCUUAUCCGCUUGUUGGUGGGGUAGUGGCUUACCAAGGCUUUGACGGGUAGCCGGCCUGAGAGGGUGACCGGCCACAUUGGGACUGAGAGACGGCCCAGACUGCUAAGGGAGGCAGCAGGGGGGAAUAUUGCACAAGGGGCGGAAGCCUGAUGCAGCAACGCCGCGUGCGGGAUGACGGCCUUCGGGUUGUAAACCGCUUUCGCCUGUGACGAGGCGUGAGUGACGGUAAUGGGUAAAGAAGCACCGGCUAACUACGUG
RNAcentral lists this ribosomal RNA (468 nucleotides) under uncultured bacterium. RNAcentral describes it as "partial 16S ribosomal RNA". It matches the Rfam family "Bacterial small subunit ribosomal RNA", at positions 28 to 507 of the family's 1533-position model. The record is from RNAcentral.